CUACGGGACGCAGCAGUGGGGAAUAUUUCACCAUGGUGUACACCCUGAUGCAGCAACGCCGCGUGAGUGAAGAAGGUUUUCGGAUUGUAAAGCUCUGUUAGCAGGGAAGAGGAAGGACGGUACCUGCAGAGGAAGCCACGGCUAACUACGUGCCAGCAGCCGCGGUAAUACGUAGGUGGCAAGCGUUGUUCGGAAUAACUGGGCGUAAAGGAUGCGUAGGCGGUUAAACAAGCUAUAUGUUAAAUAUAUAGGCUUAACCUGUAGAAAGCAUAUAACACUGUUUAACUAGAGUGCAGGAGAGGUAA
This 305-nucleotide ribosomal RNA is filed under the name uncultured bacterium. RNAcentral's name for it is "bacterial SSU rRNA". It matches the Rfam family "Bacterial small subunit ribosomal RNA", at positions 339 to 660 of the family's 1533-position model. The record is from RNAcentral.